This 758-nucleotide ribosomal RNA is filed under the name uncultured bacterium. RNAcentral's name for it is "bacterial SSU rRNA". It matches the Rfam family "Bacterial small subunit ribosomal RNA", at positions 8 to 778 of the family's 1533-position model. The record is from RNAcentral.
AGAGUUUGAUCCUGGCUCAGGACGAACGCUGGCGGCGCGCUUAACACAUGCAAGUCAAAGGGUAAUAUAUUUAUAUGUAUUACACUGGCGGAAGGGUGAGUAACGCGUGGGUUAUCUAUCCAUAUCCCAGGGAUAGCAGUGAGAAAUUGCUGAUAAUAUCUGAUAGGGACGAAAGUUCAAAGUAUUAAUAGUACGGAUAUGGUUGAGCCUGCGUAAGAUUAUGUUAGUUGGUGAGGUAAUUGCUCACCAAGGCUAUGAUCUUUAGCUGGUCUGAGAGGACGAACAGCCACACUGGAACUGAGACACGGUCCAGACUCCUACGGGAGGCAGCAGUGAGGAAUAUUGGACAAUGGAGGGAACUCUGAUCCAGCGACGCCGCGUGUAAGACGACGGAACUAAGUUCUGUAAAUCACUGUCGAGAGGGAGCAAAAGAUACUUUUGGGUAUCUGGGAUAGUACCUCUAGAGGAAGGGUCGGCUAACUACGUGCCAGCAGCCGCGGUAAUACGUAGGACCCGAGCGUUGUCCGGAUUUACUGGGUAUAAAGGGUGCGUAGGCUGUCUUGCUUGUCAAAUGUAAAAUACUACAGCUUAACUGUGGAUGUGCGUUUGAAACGGUAAGACUUGAAUAUGAGAGGGGCUGAUAGAAUUCCUGGUGUAGCGGUAAAAUGCGUAGAUAUCAGGAGGAAUACCGGUGGCGAAGGCGGUCAUCUGGCUCAUUAUUGACGCUGAGGCACGAAAGCGUAGGUAGCAAACAGGAU